CUCAAAUUUGAAAUCUGGCCCCUCCGGGGUCCGUAGUUGUAAUUUGCAGAGGAUGCUUCGGGCGCGGUCCCCGUCUAAGUACCCUGGAACGGGUCGUCAUAGAGGGUGAGAAUCCCGUCUGGGACGGGUGGCCGUGUCCGUGUGAAGCUCCUUCGACGAGUCGAGUUGUUUGGGAAUGCAGCUCUAAAUGGGUGGUAAAUUUCAUCUAAAGCUAAAUAUUGGCCGGAGACCGAUAGCGCACAAGUAGAGUGAUCGAAAGAUGAAAAGCACUUUGAAAAGAGAGUUAAACAGCACGUGAAAUUGUUGAAAGGGAAGCGCUUGCGACCAGACUCGCCCGCGGGGGUUCAGCCGGUACUCGUACCGGUGUACUCCCCCGGGGGCGGGCCAGCGUCGGUUUGGGCGGUCGGUCAAAGGCCUCCGGAAUGUGUCGCCCCCCGGGGCGUCUUAUAGCCGGAGGUGCAAUGCGGCCAGCCUGGACCGAGGAACGCGCUUCGGCUCGGACGCUGGCGUAAUGGUCGUAAGCGGCCCGUCUU
RNAcentral lists this ribosomal RNA (533 nucleotides) under Paecilomyces variotii. RNAcentral's name for it is "partial large subunit ribosomal RNA". It matches the Rfam family "Eukaryotic large subunit ribosomal RNA", at positions 108 to 655 of the family's 3401-position model. The record is from RNAcentral. Lineage: Eukaryota; Fungi; Ascomycota; Eurotiomycetes; Eurotiales; Thermoascaceae.